Molecule: ribosomal RNA, 373 nt
Filed under: uncultured organism
Description: partial 16S ribosomal RNA
Rfam family: Bacterial small subunit ribosomal RNA
Source: RNAcentral
GUAGGUGGCAAGCGUUGUCCGGAAUUAUUGGGCGCAAAGCGCGCGCAGGCGGUUUUUUAAGUCUGAUGUGAAAGCCCACGGCUCAACCGUGGAGGGUCAUUGGAAACUGGAGAACUUGAGUACAGAAGAGGAAAGCGGAAUUCCACGUGUAGCGGUGAAAUGCGUAGAGAUGUGGAGGAACACCAGUGGCGAAGGCGGCUUUCUGGUCUGUAACUGACGCUGAGGCGCGAAAGCGUGGGGAGCAAACAGGAUUAGAUACCCUGGUAGUCCACGCCGUAAACGAUGAGUGCUAAGUGUUAGGGGGUUUCCGCCCCCCUUAGUGCUGCAGCUAACGCAUUAAGCACUCCGCCCUGGGAGUACGGCCGCAAGGCUG